UAUCUGAUCUGACCAACGGUUUGGUGGC
RNAcentral lists this small RNA (28 nucleotides) under Bombyx mori (domestic silkworm). RNAcentral's name for it is "ovarian small RNA-23775". Lineage: Eukaryota; Metazoa; Arthropoda; Insecta; Lepidoptera; Bombycidae. The record is from RNAcentral.